AGUGAACGCUGGCGGUAGGCCUAACACAUGCAAGUCGAACGGCAGCACAGUAAGAGCUUGCUCUUACGGGUGGCGAGUGGCGGACGGGUGAGGAAUACAUCGGAAUCUACUUUUUCGUGGGGGAUAACGUAGGGAAACUUACGCUAAUACCGCAUACGACCUACGGGUGAAAGCAGGGGAUCUUCGGACCUUGCGCGAUUGAAUGAGCCGAUGUCGGAUUAGCUAGUUGGCGGGGUAAAGGCCCACCAAGGCGACGAUCCGUAGCUGGUCUGAGAGGAUGAUCAGCCACACUGGAACGGAGACACGGUCCGAACUCCUACGGGAGGCAGAAGUGGGGAAUAUUGAACAAUGGGCGCAAGCCUGAUCCAGCCAUACCGCGUGGGUGAAGAAGGCCUUCGGGUGGUAAAGCCCUUUUGUUGGGAAAGAAAAGCAGCAGGUUAAUACCCCGCUGUUCUGACGGUACCCAAAGAAUAAGCACCGGCUAACUUCGU
RNAcentral lists this ribosomal RNA (491 nucleotides) under uncultured bacterium. RNAcentral describes it as "partial 16S ribosomal RNA". It matches the Rfam family "Bacterial small subunit ribosomal RNA", at positions 29 to 506 of the family's 1533-position model. The record is from RNAcentral.